Podarcis lilfordi (Lilford's wall lizard) is the source of this 365-nucleotide non-coding RNA. NCBI's taxonomy places the organism in Eukaryota, Metazoa, Chordata, Lepidosauria, Squamata, Lacertidae. The record is from the annotation of a GenBank genome assembly.
GACCAAAUAUGGAUUUCCAGAGGCCUGGCACCUAAGGUCAGAAAAGUGGAAAUCUGCCCAAAGACCUGCUCUGACCAUAAUGCAGUAAAGAUGGAUAUGACACUACUACCAACUGGAUCCUUUAGAUGGAAGAUGAAUGACAAUUUGUUUAGAGAUCAGGAAAUUACCAAGAAGGCCCAAAAAGUUUUGAAGGACUAUUUUGAGAUAAAUAUGAACAAUUCGGUGGAAAAAAGAAUUGUCUGGGACGCAAGCAAAGCUGUAAUGAGGGGAUUCUUGAUACAACAGAAUGUAGUAAAGAAAAGAACACAAAAUGAGAAAAAAGAUAAGAUCUUGGACAAAUUAAAAGAAUUAGAGAAGAAAUUAAG